RNAcentral lists this ribosomal RNA (253 nucleotides) under uncultured bacterium. RNAcentral's name for it is "partial 16S ribosomal RNA". It matches the Rfam family "Bacterial small subunit ribosomal RNA", at positions 524 to 776 of the family's 1533-position model. The record is from RNAcentral.
UACGAACUGUGCAAACGUUAUUCGGAUUCACUGGGCUUAAAGGGUGCGUAGGCGGCCAUGUAAGUAGGGUGUGAAAUCCCCCGGCUUAACCGGGGAACUGCGCCCUAAACUGUAUGGCUGGAGUGAGAUAGGGGUGUGUGGAACUUCCGGUGGAGCGGUGAAAUGCGUAGAUAUCCUGAGGAACACCGGUGGCGAAAGCGGCGUGCUGGACACCUUCUGACGCUGAGGCGCGAAAGCCAGGGGAGCGAACGGG